This 637-nucleotide unclassified non-coding RNA is filed under the name Marsdenia laxiflora. Its description in RNAcentral is "sequence contains 18S rRNA gene, ITS1, 5.8S rRNA gene, ITS2, 28S rRNA gene". The stretch from base 260 to 414 matches the Rfam family "5.8S ribosomal RNA". Lineage: Eukaryota; Viridiplantae; Streptophyta; Magnoliopsida; Gentianales; Apocynaceae. The record is from RNAcentral.
CGGAAGGAUCAUUGUCGAAUCCUCAACAAAAACCCGCGAACACGUUCAAAAAUUCGCGUAGGGUGUCUGGGUAAAACCGGCGCCCCAGGCCCCCUGCCUGGCCGAAAGGGGCACCUCGACUGGCCGACCGGGCGACAGAAACAAAAAUCGGCGCGGGAAGCCCCAAGGACUCACGAAAUGGGAUGCCUUCCUGCGAAGAGGGCCGUUCGCGGAAUCCUCUCCGCGGGGCUCAGAAGGUACCUAAAACAAAAUCUCACACGACUCUCGGCAAUGGAUAUCUGGCUCUCGCAUCGAUGAAGAACAUAGCAAACUGCGAUACUUUGUGUGAAUUGCAGAAUCCCGUGAACCAUCGAGUCUUUGAACGCAAGUUGCGUCCGAAGCCAUUAGGCAGAGGGCACGUCUGCCUGGGCGUCACGCAUCGCGUCGCCCCCCCUACCCCCGUCCCCGAAAGGUGGAGAAGAGCGGAGGGGAGGAAGUUGGCUUGCCGUGCUCCAUCGCGGCCUGCCUAAAACAAGGUUCCCCCGACGCGGAAGUCUCGGCGAGUGGUGGUCGUCGAGAUUGAACGUUCGGACCCUGCUGGUGAGAGUCCUUCCUCCAGGAGGGAGAAUCUCGCCACAACCGUGACCCCAGGUCAAGC